This 644-nucleotide ribosomal RNA is filed under the name uncultured bacterium. RNAcentral's name for it is "bacterial SSU rRNA". It matches the Rfam family "Bacterial small subunit ribosomal RNA", at positions 232 to 872 of the family's 1533-position model. The record is from RNAcentral.
CGCGGCCUAUCAGCUUGUUGGUGGGGUGAUGGCCUACCAAGGCGACGACGGGUAGCCGGCCUGAGAGGGUGUCCGGCCACACUGGGACUGGGAUACGGCCCAGACUCCUACGGGAGGCAGCAGUGGGGAAUAUUGCACAAUGGGCGCAAGCCUGAUGCAGCGACGCCGCGUGGGGGAUGACGGCCUUCGGGUUGUAAACCUCUUUCACCAUCGGCGAAGCCAGAUGCUUUUGUGUCUGGUGACGGUAGGUGGAGAAGAAGCAUCGGCCAACUACGUGCCAGCAGCCGCGGUAAUACGUAGGGUGCGAGCGUUGUCCGGAGUUACUGGGCGUAAAGAGCUCGUAGGUGGUUUGUCGCGUUGUCCGUGAAAUUCCCUGGCUUAACUGGGGGCGUGCGGGCGAUACGGGCAGACUGGAGUACUGCAGGGGAGACUGGAAUUCCUGGUGUAGCGGUGGAAUGCGCAGAUAUCAGGAGGAACACCGGUGGCGAAGGCGGGUCUCUGGGCAGUAACUGACGCUGAGGAGCGAAAGCGUGGGGAGCGAACAGGAUUAGAUACCCUGGUAGUCCACGCCGUAAACGGUGGGUACUAGGUGUGGGUUUCCUUCCUUGGGAUCCGUGCCGUAGCUAACGCAUUAAGUACCCCGC